UUUCUUGAUAUGGGCAGACACGGGAUCCGGGUUCUGACCCGGAUAUAAAUACCAUCUAAAUCACGCUCCUUUUGUAAUCCCUGUUCUAAACCCUAGCCUCUCCAUCCUUCCUCUUUCGCCGUCGCUUCUCAUCGUGCCAUGAAAAUAUGCCCGGAAUUAGGUUAAGGAUGCGACUUUUGACCAGAAUCCUCUUCAGCAUCAAGUCAAUAUAGUUAUGCUAUUGUUAAGGAAAAUAUGCUAUCCACUCAAUCACCAGAUGCCAAAAUCAUCAAAGAAGGGCAGUUUGUAAUUAGGGCUCGAAACCUUCGAGCGGCUACUGGGUUUAUUCCGCUUAAGAACACGGAUAAGAACAACGUCAACCACUUCAUCACUCUGACGGACCUUGGAAUUGCAAAGCUCAGAAUUAACAUCAGACCCGGGGCUGUGAAAAUUGUUGUUGAAUAGUUUAAAAGUAUUUGAUUAUUGGUUAAUAAACAUCAGACAUCUUAUGAGUGCAGAGAAACACUUAAGCGGAGUUCAAUCCAAGCUAUAAUAUAGCUUUACUCUGUUUGUAGCGUGCCUUAAGAAUCGCAAACAAUGCUCAAUAAAUGGCGAAUGUGACAAAAGGUAACAACUGGUCAAUCAUCCUCUUUAUCGAGAUUUUACAAGUAAGUAACACUAGGUACCUAUACUUCUUCGAUAAGGGAAACACCAAAUCACGGUUUCUUUAAUUCAUGGACUUAUUGAAUUAGUUACAACUGAAAUACAAAGCGACACCACCACAUCAGAUCUAGCUACUUAUGCUUUUUUUUCAGUACGGUCCGCUAUAUCUAGCCGCAAAAGGCCAAGGGCGGAGCCAAUGCAGAGAAAUUCGAGUAGAUCAAAUUGAAUGUCAUUCCAAAUUUUGUUAGGGAUGCUCACACAAAGAAAGAGGUUUUGCAAGAUGGGAGACACAAGCAUAUCAGCACUCAGAGAUAGGGGAGUCCAUUACGUUAAACGCAAGUGGAUUCCAGAAAUAGGGAGAAUGAAACCCAUUACCAACUGAUUGACAAACAGGUUUAGUCUGUCAAUAUUCACCUAUAAUAGGUAUAAUGUAUCGGUUGGAGUGAUUUGAUGAGAGGCGGGGACAUGUCAAUUGGUGAUCUUUGUGUUUUUAAAUGGUCAAUGAGCGAAGGGAAGCUCUUAGUUGCAAAUCCUCCAAAACAUAUAGUAUCGGACUAAACUUUUCUUAACGAGUUUAAUGUUUUCAUUCGUCUAUUUACUUAUUUUUAGUAUUGUAUUGUUUUCUUAUUGUGUAGAUAUUUGAAUAUGCUUUUUGUGGUUAAUACUUUAACUAAUUAUUCAAUUGUUUUAUUAAUUAUUAAAAUUUUAAUAUAAUGUAAUUUAUAAACAUGAAUCAUAAGCAAUCAAUAAAUUAUAAUAAGUUAUAAGUCUGGUUACAAGUUUAUAACCCAUGAAUAAGUUUAUGAAAAGUUUACAUCUCUUAUUAUACCAAAGACAUUUAACAUGCAGUUUCUUUCGGCUCUAAGGUAGAUGUGCUUCUCAAAUUAUAUGCAAUUAAUAGUAUUUUCUUCAUGUUUCUUGUGGGUUUUGAAACCAAAUUGUUUUUUUUUUAAAUUCUGAAGCUGCUCAAAGACUUCAAUUGUAUAUUAGCAGUCAUCAAAGAAACCUAGAAAUUUACAUCAGUGACCUUUUUACCUUAUUUUUUCUCUUCUCUAAAGGGAAAUUGGAUUUUAAUAAUAGAGGUGUUUGGCCAAUACUGAUCCUGCUUUAAAAAUAUUGUCAUUGGCAGUUUCAUCUUUUAAAUAUUUUUUUUCCUCACUGGACCUCUGUUACUUUUUUUUUUCAAAUUUCAAAUAUUGUUAUUGGCAGUCCCAUCUUUUAGCUUAGUUGUAGUCAAGAUGUUUGAUGAAAUUACUCUAUGACACACAGUUUGCUAUAUAGUUACGUUUUAUGGCACCCAGGUUGCUUUUAAUCAAAAAGUUAAGGCCACAAGUGUGACAUUAGGAGGUGACAUAUAUUAACCAAGUUGACUUUUGACUGGUGGUUCUCGCAAUGAAAUGGCAAAAAGGAUCGAGCAUAAUAUUUCAAAUACAUGAGAGGUGAAGGCAUUUGGUCUUUUAUCUGAGGAGGAAAUUGCUAAGGGGAUAGAGUUACUGCUGUAACAACAUAAUAUGCUUUUGAAGAUAUUACGAAGGUGUCUGAGCUUUAGAUGGAAGUUGAUCGGGCAUCCAAGUUGGAAGGAAGCUUCUUGAACAGAAAGUGACUGCUUUGAAUGGUCAAGUAGAAUUUGCCACUAUUCCAACAACAAAGAAGCCCGAUCUCAAGGCAAAAUUCUCCACCCUUCAGCUGUAUGGAGAAUGGUGUGGAUUGUGGUGUUUGGAGGAUGACGAGUCAAGGAACCCGAGUCAACUCAGUCAACUAAGCCGACUUGGUCAACACAGUCAAUGAGUUACACUUGGCAAAUAUACAGAUAGAGUUUUGGGAGAGGUAUAGCGCCUUUGUAAUACAACUUCAGGUAAACCUGUUUAAAAAUUCACCAUGAUGUUUCUGAAGGUGAAAACAUACAUUCUUGGUAAACAGAGAAAGCGUAGUCAGUUAGUUGAAUUUGGAAAAAGGUAUACCUUCUUUUCGUUAUUUUCAUGCUUUUGAGACUAAUUUUAGGUUGAAUUUUUCCUUUUUUAGCCAAGUAGUUAUCUUCACUUUCCUAUAAAUACUUUGAGCAUGACAUGAGUUUGUGGUUCAACAUGUGACCUUAUAUGUUUACACAGUUAAUUGCAAUUUUCAUAUCAUUAGAUGUCUAGAUAGCUUUGUUCAUUUGUGUUAAAGGGAUCUUACUCGAAAUGAAGAAAAUAAAAAUUAAAUAAGAGGUGCCAAUUUUGUAUAUAAAUGAGACAGAAUGAUGGAUAAAUUUAUUUGUUUAUUGAUUAAAGAUGAUUUAUAGUUUGGUUCAACUCAAUUGAAUGAGAUGUGGAUUAUUUGUUUCAUCUGGGUAUAUUGGAUCAAUUAAAAUCGCGGUUACAAGUUGAAACCAACAUCGUUUACUGGUGUCAUGUAUGUGGAAAAUGAAGAAGCAGUUUAGAAGGUUGUGGCUGCUAUUAAUUCAGUUGUUGUUGGGGUUGACUCUUUAAGGUAAAAAUGUGAAAAGUGCCUUCAUACAUUUUAGAAAAAAAAAAAUUGACAGUAGCUUUUCUUGUAAGUUAUAAUACUUUUAAAAACUAAUCAAAUUAAUGAUGUUCUAUACAGAUGUAAGUGAACUUCAUAGAAUCAUGAAGUUCACUUCAUUGACCUUUUAUACUAAAAGGAAAACAUAUGCUUCAUUGUAUCGAUUAUUGUAAGAAAAUAAUAUGUCUAUGGAUAGCGACUGGAAGUAUCUCUUCCCUGUUAUGUGUUUAUACUGAUACAAUUGGUUAUGCCAUGGGUUCAUCUAGGCCAAAAUUCAAUUGGAAAAUUCAGACAAGUUGGUCUGGUGAUGUAGGUGUAGAUGAGACUCGUGUGGAGCCCAAUGAAAUCGACCUGGUUAUGACUCAAAAUGGCUGUCAAGAUCAAAUGUUGUGAAGGCUUUUAAAAGGCUGCAAAUGCUGACAUUGUCAACGGAGAUAUGAAGGUCAUUUUAUUCUCAUAUGUGUCAAGGGAAACAUGGGUAUUCAGAAGUUAAGUGUGAAGGCAUCUAUUUACAACAUGACGAAGAUUAGUGAUCGGGAGUCAUUUGUGUUCCUUAGUUACUAAUUUUUAGUUCGAUCAUAUCUCUUGCUUAUCUCUUAUAACCAUCCUACUCAUGAUAUCGUAUGGCAUUGUAGACUGGGAGACCAAUUGUGCAUGGGUUGGGCCGCAAAAGGGAGAGUAUGGAGUUAAAAGAAAUGUUGAAGGAUGAACUUAAGCUCAAAAUAGCUCUUUCUGGCUGCCCCACUCUCAAUGAUUAUGGAUGUCACUUUGUUUAUGAUUUAUUAAGAGACUUCAAGAAUAUCGAAUUUUAGGUGUCUGUUAAAUCAAAGAGGACUUGCAUCUAUAACGUUGGAUGUGGUAGGGCGUGCUACACCAACUGGACUGAGCUCAUGUUACUUUUAGUAAAUUGUAAAUGUAACAUUAUUUGUCAUUUUCUUGAUGUUUUUGUACACGGCUUAUAAAGAAAACUUCAUACCUAAUGAUACAAUCCACUUUGUUACUAAUU
Helianthus annuus (common sunflower) is the source of this 4150-nucleotide long non-coding RNA. RefSeq lists it as uncharacterized. The transcript has 12 exons. The record is from RefSeq and is a predicted model, not a curated record. NCBI's taxonomy places the organism in Eukaryota, Viridiplantae, Streptophyta, Magnoliopsida, Asterales, Asteraceae.